CCUACGGGAGGCAGCAGUGAGGAAUAUUGGUCAAUGGCCGGAAGGCUGAACCAGCCAAGCCGCGUGAAGGACGAAGGUGCCACGCAUUGUAAACUUCUUUUGUCAAGGGACAAAAUCAGGCUCGAGAGCCUGACCGAGGGUACUUGAAGAAAAAGCAUCGGCUAACUCCGUGCCAGCAGCCGCGGUAAUACGGAGGAUGCGAGGUUUCUCCGGGUUUAUUGGGUUUAAAGGGUGCGUAGGCGGGCUGUUAAGUCAGCGGUAAAAGCCCGGGGCUCAACCCCGGCGAGCCGUUGAAACUGGCUGUCUUGAGAUGUCGAGAGGUAUGCGGAAUGCGCAGUGUAGCGGUGAAAUGCUUAGAUAUUGCGCAGAACUCCGAUUGCGAAGGCAGCAUACCGGCGGCGAUCUGACGCUGAGGCACGAAAGCGUGGGUAGCGAACAGGAUUAGAUACCCUUGUAGUC
This 459-nucleotide ribosomal RNA is filed under the name uncultured bacterium. RNAcentral describes it as "partial 16S ribosomal RNA". It matches the Rfam family "Bacterial small subunit ribosomal RNA", at positions 338 to 795 of the family's 1533-position model. The record is from RNAcentral.